This 428-nucleotide ribosomal RNA is filed under the name Bacteroidota bacterium. RNAcentral describes it as "Bacteroidetes bacterium partial 16S ribosomal RNA". It matches the Rfam family "Bacterial small subunit ribosomal RNA", at positions 355 to 776 of the family's 1533-position model. Lineage: Bacteria; Pseudomonadati; Bacteroidota. The record is from RNAcentral.
UAGGGAAUCUUCGGCAAUGGACGCAAGUCUGACGGAGCAACGCCGCGUGAGUGAAGAAGGAUUUCGGUUCGUAAAACUCUGUUGUUAGAGAAGAACAGCGCAUAGAGUAACUGUUAUGCGUGUGACGGUAUCUAACCAGAAAGCCACGGCUAACUACGUGCCAGCAGCCGCGGUAAUACGUAGGUGGCAAGCGUUGUCCGGAUUUAUUGGGCGUAAAGCGAGCGCAGGCGGUUAGAAAAGUCUGAAGUGAAAGGCAGUGGCUCAACCAUUGUAGGCUUUGGAAACUGGAAAACUUGAGUGCAGAAGAGGAAAGUGGAAUUCCAUGUGUAGCGGUGAAAUGCGCAGAGAUAUGGAGGAACACCAGUGGCGAAGGCGACUUUCUGGUCUGUAACUGACGCUGAUGUGCGAAAGCGUGGGGAUCAAACAGG